This 441-nucleotide ribosomal RNA is filed under the name uncultured bacterium. RNAcentral's name for it is "bacterial SSU rRNA". It matches the Rfam family "Bacterial small subunit ribosomal RNA", at positions 360 to 793 of the family's 1533-position model. The record is from RNAcentral.
AAUAUUGCACAAUGGGCGCAAGCCUGAUGCAGCCAUGCCGCGUGUAUGAAGUAAGGCCUUCGGGUUGUAAAGUACUUUCAGCAGUGAGGAAGGUGGAUAUGUUAAUAGCAUAUUCAUUUGACGUUAGCUGCAGAAGAAGCACCGGCUAACUCCGUGCCAGCAGCCGCGGUAAUACGGAGGGUGCGAGCGUUAAUCGGAAUUACUGGGCGUAAAGCGCAUGCAGGUGGUUUGUUAAGUCAGAUGUGAAAGCCCGGGGCUCAACCUCGGAAUUGCAUUUGAAACUGGCAAACUAGAGUACUGUAGAGGGGGUAGAAUUUCAGGUGUAGCGGUGAAAUGCGUAGAGAUCUGAAGGAAUACCGGUGGCGAAGGCGGCCCCCUGGACAGAUACUGACACUCAGAUGCGAAAGCGUGGGGAGCAAACAGGAUUAGAUACCCUGGUAG